UUCCCUUUAUCCCAGAUCUACUCUCAAAUCUUAAUGGAGUUACAGACUCUUACACCUUCUCAUUUGUUUUCCCUUCCGGUUGUAAUUGUUUCUCUCUCAAAUCUCGUAUUUUUUUAACUUUACUUUUCUCUUAACUUGGAGGUAUUAUCCGACCAUAUCAAUGGAAUUUGCAUCUUCUUCCAUCUGAUUUUAGGCAAGUCUUGCUCAAGCGAUUACUGCCAAUUUUGCCGAUGAACCCAAAACAGCUAGUGCUUCUCUUGCUAAGGCUGCCAAGCAUUUUGAUGCCUUGGUCAAUGCCCUGCCACUAGUUGAGGGAGGUGAAGAGGAUCAACUGAAAAGAAUCGUUGAUCUUCAGGUAUCGUAGUAGCUGAUUUUCUGUGAAAUGCUCAAGCAAUAUAGAGCCUGGUAAAGCGGUUUUUCUUGUGUAUUUACCCGGCAGAAAAUGAUGUUGUUGGACAAGAAUGGCAGAAGCAACUGGAA
This is a long non-coding RNA of Spinacia oleracea (spinach), 480 nucleotides long. RefSeq lists it as uncharacterized. The record is from RefSeq and is a predicted model, not a curated record. The transcript has 3 exons. Lineage: Eukaryota; Viridiplantae; Streptophyta; Magnoliopsida; Caryophyllales; Amaranthaceae.